UGCAGAGGUAGGAAUUCACGCUCCUGCAUUCUCGGACCGUUAGGAUUCCAAUUGUGCCUAAAUAUAUCUUGUAUUCUGCGAAGAAGAAGCUGAGAGAGGUUGAAGAUGGGAGGAGAUGAUUUUGAUUAGAAUGCUGAUGAUGAGCUUGAAAUUGAGAACUAUAACUCUUCAUCUUCAUGUUUAACCCUUCCUAAUGGGGAUGUUGGAGAGGUAAACUUUUAGACACUUUAUUCUUUUUCUUUGUGUUCUGAGUGGUUGAAUAUUAAGAAUUCAGAGGAUAUAUAACAAGAAAGUUUAAGAUAAUGCAAAUACUUUGUCUUUGACAAGAAAGUUUAAGAAUUCAGAGGAUAUAUAACAAGA
Glycine soja is the source of this 360-nucleotide long non-coding RNA. RefSeq lists it as uncharacterized. The record is from RefSeq and is a predicted model, not a curated record. The transcript is spliced from 3 exons. NCBI's taxonomy places the organism in Eukaryota, Viridiplantae, Streptophyta, Magnoliopsida, Fabales, Fabaceae.